This 376-nucleotide ribosomal RNA is filed under the name uncultured bacterium. RNAcentral's name for it is "bacterial SSU rRNA". It matches the Rfam family "Bacterial small subunit ribosomal RNA", at positions 523 to 898 of the family's 1533-position model. The record is from RNAcentral.
AUACGUAGGUGGCAAGCGUUGUCCGGAUUUAUUGGGCGUAAAGCGCGCGCAGGCGGCUAUGUAAGUCUGGUGUUAAAGCCCGGGGCUCAACCCCGGUUCGCAUCGGAAACUGCAGAGCUUGAGUGCAGAAGAGGAAAGCGGUAUUCCACGUGUAGCGGUGAAAUGCGUAGAGAUGUGGAGGAACACCAGUGGCGAAGGCGGCUUUCUGGUCUGUAACUGACGCUGAGGCGCGAAAGCGUGGGGAGCAAACAGGAUUAGAUACCCUGGUAGUCCACGCCGUAAACGAUGAGUGCUAGGUGUUGGGGGUUUCAAUACCCUCAGUGCCGCAGCUAACGCAAUAAGCACUCCGCCUGGGGAGUACGCUCGCAAGAGUGAA